This is a long non-coding RNA of Micropterus dolomieu (smallmouth bass), 2684 nucleotides long. RefSeq lists it as uncharacterized. The record is from RefSeq and is a predicted model, not a curated record. NCBI's taxonomy places the organism in Eukaryota, Metazoa, Chordata, Actinopteri, Centrarchiformes, Centrarchidae. The transcript has 3 exons.
CGCAGCUGCUGACUGCAUUGUGCGGCCGACCUCAUCAUGCCAGCCAAUCAUGAGUGGCGGCUUGUUUGUGUUUCCAUUCCAUCUCUUCUCAGUCGUGAUUGCAUUUGAACCGUGGCAAAAGUAGCGUCAGUAAGAACAAGUCGAGCGUGUCUCUCCUCUCUCCAUGUCCGUCUCCCUGAUGUCCUAUAAAGGUCCUGUUGCACUGUACAGAUGCUGCACAGACUUUCAGGAAAUCAUCACUGACUGGAAGGACAACAUCCUGCGGCUGUGGGGUGCUUCAGGAGGUGCAUGUGUACUGACCACAGGGCUACAUGUUCCUGUGUUCAGGGCUGUAGUGCUCUGGGCUGUGGAGAUGCAGUAGUUCAUGCUGAGCCUGGGGUCAGAUCACUCAGACGAGGAGGGGUGAAUUCAUCAGCCCCCGCAGAGCCUGUAAGGCACUCAGACUUAUCCAUCAUCAUACAGCCCUGAUGCUUUACUGGAAGAUGAGGGGGAGGAGGACAUGAAGGACAGAGAGACGGCUCAACCACUCAGAGUCUCGACUCAUACCGGUUCCCACGUACCUUCUCGCCUGCAGACACCGGUCUCCUCUUCACUCCCGCUUCCUCAGCUACGGAUACGACUCCUCCCCUUCAUCCCUCACCUGUCUGCCCCUCAACCCUUCAUCCACCACACCUCAACCUCUCCGUCAUCCCUGCAUGGCUCUAGAGGGAAAAGUGAGGGGAUCACAAAGUCCUUACAAUUUAUCCUGAGAGGAACAUGAAUGUCUGCACCAAAUUUCAUGGCAAUCAAUUAAAAAAUUGCUGAGAUUUCACUCAAAACCUGAAAUGUCAACAUCGUGGUGGCGCUAAUGGAAAAGUAAUGGGAUUGCCAGAGUCAAUAGAAUGCAUCAUGAACGUCUGUACAAAUUUCACAGCAGUACAUCCAUUCAUUGUUGGGACAUUUCAGUCUGGACUAAAGUGGUCAAACGGACAGAAGAGGCAUCGAUAGAUCCACACCAGAAGCGUGGCCUAAAUAAAGAAUAAAUACACCCAUCUGGCAAAAAACUGUCUUUAGCUACUCGGGGGAAGUUCAAGUUAAAUGAAAAGAUAUUAAAUAAAUCAAUAAAGAGAUCCCAGGAAGCCCAAAUGGCUUGACCUAACUUGUGUCAGAGGAAUAAGGAAUGAUGCAUCAGAAUGUUUCAGUCAGAUAAAUAACUUAUUAAUUUAUGAAAAUUAAAAUUGCAACAGUAAUGGAACAACUGUGUCAGCAGGGAAGAGUUAGGUUAUUGGUGUAAACAAAGUGAAUAUUGUCAGAUGUUACCCCAACUGGUGAUAGCUGCUGGUUCAUUUCUGUACAUGUGAGUUUGGGUUGUGUGGGCUUUGUGUCUCUGUUUACGUGUUUGAGUAACAAUGUGUAUGUGUCUAUUUGCUUUUUUUUUCCUGUGUGUGUUUGUGUGUGGAAGGACGAUCACAGACCCUCUGAUCUGAGGGAGGCAAAUGCCAGAUCACACUUUCCUUUCUAUCUCUCUCCCUCUCUUUCUCUUCCUGUCUCUUUUCAUCUUGCCGUCUCCAGAGAGAAGGUAUGUGUUGACUACGGUGACAUCUGACCAGAGAAAGCCUGUGGCUCAUACUGUGGCACACACAAAAACACAAAGUCUUCCCCGAUGAGUUUCUGUAGUGUACCCCCUUGUCUCAACCCCCGAGGCUGCACUCAGAGCAUAUUUCCAGUGGCCAAAGAAAGAGAGGGCGAGAGAGAGAGAGAGAAGAAAAUAAAGCUGUCAUGGUCUUGCCAGAGAUGUCAGAUGGAAGGUAGGAGGGAGCACUGAGGGAGCACUAAGGAGUCAGGAGAGAGGCAAUGCAACUCUGACAUACAAACUCAAAAGUCCUUCAUUAGCAUUGGAGAGAUUAAGUUUGUAGCAAUCUUUGUCAAAGUAUGAGUAAAAAAGCUGAAUAAUGAACAAGAGUGGCAUACUGGUGAAUGUAUAAAUAGUUACAAAAGUUCAGUUCAUCCAUUUAACAGACCUGCAGUGAACUGGCAUGUAAACACACAGCAGCAUAUAAACAAUGAGUAACUCUAUGUACUCUAACCAGCAAUCUAAUGGUGUGAUUGACAAGGUCCAAGUGACACAUACUUACUGUAGCAGCAACGGGACUGCACUGCAAUGACUCCGUACCAGCGAUGUCCAAAUAUACAAUCAGUGCUCUCGGUAAGACAGUAACCUAUGAGGAUUUGAUGACUGUAUAUGGUGCAGUGGAGGUGACCGUUAUGAUAGUGGAGGUGUUGAGGUUGCUCUUCUGUGCAGCCAUAUCAGAGUCUGCAUUGCCUUCCAUAAUGUAAGAGAACAUAAAGACGUGCAUUUGUUGUGGAGUGUUGGAUCCUGAGAAUUGCUGACAGCUUUCCGGAUGCAGGGAAUGCUGUAAAUAUCUUCAAAUGCUGGAAGUUGUGAUCCAGUGAUUUGUUGGCCGGUUCUGAUAACUGACGAGUGCUUGCAGCGGUAUAGCUCGAGGGCUUUGCUCUUAUGCAGCACAUCCCUGUAGUUUUGAUGGGACACUGGCAAAAGUUCUCAAGGAGCUUUUUGCAGGAGCGGUGCUCUCUUCUGUCUCCUCAAGAAGUAAAGUCUUCCUGUAAAGUGAUUGCUGUGUUUUUUUUCGACAAGAGAAUGUAAGAGAACACGACAAGUCUUAAGUGGAGGAUCUUGAAACUAG